CAGUUACUCACGGAAGCGCUGGGACGGGUGGUGAGGGGCCCGGGCAGGUGGCGCGCCUUACAGCGGACGGUGUUCGUGCUGCUUUCCGUGCCGUGGUUUCUGAAAGAUACAGACCAGAAGAGGAGUUUGGGGCUUGACACCUGACAUCUUAACACCAGUUCCUGUUUCUUGAGGAAGGAAGAGGUAAAAUAAAUCAGCGUUUUCUGUGUCCUUCUCCAUCCCCGGAAGUCCUCAUGAAGACCCUCUCAGCUUCAACUUGAACGUGAAUAUGAGCAGCUGAUCAUCUGUUCUGCAGUCAGCCCCUGGCCAGAUUCUGACUCAUGAUAUUGACCUUCUCCAUCAUCACCUUCCACAAAUUUGAUUCCUGUCUAUUCUGCCUGGAAUGGUGCACGAGUAUAGUCACCGUUUAUGCUCCUGAUGAAAGGCGGGACGCCCCUCCUGUGCUGUCCUCAGAAGGGCUCUUCAGGGACCACACCCCUAGUUUGCGGAGCAGCAGAGCCUGCCCCAGUCUGGACUAGGGACUUUAUUUCUUCCACUCUCACCACUGGCUGAAGGCAGACUCCUGUCUCCACAGACUAAAGAGGAAUUAUCAAAAUGAGCUCGAAACUCUAGAUUUGAGUUAAGGAUCAUAAAUUAACACAGAGAAAUACAACUUUAACAACAAAGACCUGUUUGGAGCCCCAGUUGGAAUUAAAAAAAAAAAAACUUGAACAGAGGGAGUGAUAAAGGCUUCCUUCUUUUGCCAUCCUCUCUCGGUGGUCCCAAGCUUUCUCAUCUCCCACCUCACAAGACUGUAUCAACUGCUUUGAGACUUUUAGAAUAAAGAUCCCCAGGCAUAUCACUGCUGUUACCCUGUGAGGAUUUCCCCAGUGCUGGGUUAGACUAAGACAGAAUCCUCCAGAGGCUUCCGGGGUCUGUGUACUGGAUGGUCAACACACAGAGCCUCAGAGCCCACUUCAUUUUUCCUGCAGUUGGGCAUGACCCCAGGGACAUGACCCUGAGAGUGCUGACACUUCCUGAAGCCAGUGACCCUCCCCCUGGGCUUCUCUCUGCCUGGGUCUCAGAAUCUCUGAGGCCAACUUGUACCCUCGGAAGUGUUUCUGCUGAAGGACACGUAAACAGCACUGUGGGUUUGUGUCCUGCAGUCUGCAAAACUGCCUCCCCUGAGUGGGGUGAGGAGCUACUGGAAUACUGAAACAUUGAAAUCAUUAAAACUAGCAGAAGCCACAGCCCAUGGUGCUGGGAGAAAACUGGGAAGGACGGAGAGGUGAAGAGGCUAUAAAGGCCCAGGUGUGAAGGCGACCAUGGGCCAGGAUGUCCUGAAGUCGCAAAGCUGACCAAUGCUGAGUGCCCUAAAAGCUGCCACUCCUGUGCCCAUCUUUUCUUUCAAUGGACAAAGUCUUUCCCUGCUCUUAUGUGCCUGGGCUGGAAGGGCCUUUGACUUAGAACAUGAAGCAGCCUCCAGAGCCUCUUGGGGCAAGUGAUGGUCAAGGAGGCUCUGCCUAACCCCACCCUGCUCUUCCCACUUGUCAGAGGACCAGGAAUUUCAGUCUUCCAACUCCUGGGCUGAUCUAGUGACUCAUAACAGGAUUUCACUGGAACUGGAAGGUGUUGAAGACAGGAAGUACUCCUGGGUUUCUUCACCCAGCUGAAUGCCUAGUUCCUGGUCUUAUUACACGGCUUACAUUCAGGAUAAGAAGAGGCGUUUGGAGCUUUACGCAUGACCUCUUAGCAGCGGUUUCUGUUCAGGAGUGAAGAGGUAAAAAGAAAGCAGUGUCUACUAAGUCCUUUUCCAAGAGUCUCAGGAAAUUCUCACGAAGACCCUCUCAGAUGCAGGACGAUGAGGAGGGAAUGUUUGUUGUGUCAUAAUCUGUGGAAGGAUGCAAAGUGCACAUGGGGUUCGUUACUCCUGAUGCUCACACUAUUGCAGCCCACCUACUGGGAAAUUACCGUAAGUGUUGCUGAGUCCCUCACACAUCCACACUGAACAGCUUUCGGAUUCUCAUAAGCAGGAGUUAUUUGUGUCCUAAGAUGAGCCACUCCUUGGAAGCCCUACCCUGUCCUAUAGGGUCGCUGUGAGUCGGAAUCAACUGCAUGGCAAGAGUGUUUUUUUUGGAGAGGGGUUGAUAUUAGCUGCAGAAUAAUGUUUAAAAAAAUGCUGACAGAGUAGCAGGUGAAACCAACACAAUGAAACUGAAAUGAAAUCUCUUUUUCACACUUAUCGACCCCACAGUGCCUUCGAAGUGUGUACUUUUCACUGGGUUUAGAGGAAAGAGAGAACUCUUCACGAGAGAGACACAGCUUGGGACACCUCCAAAAUCACACGCCUCCUCCCUGAUGUUAGCUGGCUGCAUGUGACCACCAGGCUUCCUGACUCCAUCAUUCUGCUUUCCAUACCAAUGUUAUUGUAACCUUGGGAUCUUGGGCAGUGGUGAAAGUUACACACUGUCCCUGCCAUUAGGAAGGGGACAAGCCAGUGCGGGUGGGAGGGGCAGUGGGGAAAUUCGGCCUAGAGAAAGGACAGGCCACCUUCCAGGAACCACACUGGCCUUCAGAGAGCUUUGUUGGCUGUGGUUCACCUGGCCAGCUUGUAGGCGUCAGGGUGCCCUAGGGCUCGGUGCUUAGUUCUCUCUAUUGACACCCUCUGUCUAGGAUGACUCAGUGAGUCCACUGCUGUCUAUCUGUAGCUAAAGAUGCCAGCUUUGUAGCUCUAGUCAAAUUCCUCCUGGGUGCAGACUCGUAUAUUCAAAUGUCAGCCUAACUCUCUGUAUCGACCUCUUUUGUAAAAUGGGCAUUAUAAUGGCACAUUCCUCAUAGGACUAUCAUGCAGAGCAAAACUCUUAAGGAGAAGCUUUUACAAGAGCCCCUGACACCAGUGCAUGUGCUCAGUAAGUGUUAGCUGUUAGUAUUAUUACCUGACAUCUCCACGUGGACGUCUGACAGCUAUGCCAUGUUAUCAAGGCCAUGAAGCAAGUCUUGGUCCCAAACCCAUUCCACCCGUAUCAAUUUCUCAAGGCUACAGUGAUGGGAGUCUGUGUGUUUUUCCACAUAAUGGACAUGGUUAAAAAGGUUGACCAGGUCCUUCAUAAUAAGUUGCUCCAAAGUUCAUAUGGGUGACCAUUGAUACAAGUUACAGUCAACUAAUAUAGAAAAAAAAACAGAACCACUCUCAGCAGCUCAUGCUUGGACUCUCAGUCCAGAAUGUCUGGUGAGGGCACUAUUAUGGACUGAAUUGUAUAACCCCAAAAGGUAUGUUGAAAUCCUAACCACUGUACCUGUAAAUGUGACCUAAUUUAGAAAUAGGGGAUUUUUAAAAUUAUGUUAAUAAGGCCAUACCAGUGUAGGGUGGGUCCUAGACCUAGUCCCUUCUGAGUUAUAAAAACAGCAGAAUAGACACAGACAGGAGCAGAUGCAUCUACAAGGCCAGGAACACAAAGGGUGGCUGGAAGCUGCUAGAAGCUGAAGUAGACAUGAGCCGUGCCCUGAAUUCAGACUUCGAGCCUCUCCUGAACUGUAAGAAAAUAAAUUUCUGUUCUUUAAAGCCACUCAGUUGUGUUAUUUUUUUCUUAUGGCGGCACUAGGUAACUAACACACAUAUCUGUGCUUAUAAAUCCAGCCUAGGGUAAAAUAGUGCUCUCCCCUCCUUGUCUAGCCCACCUGGAUCCUGCUGUUUCCCUAUCAGUGUCCUCUGCUUUCACUAAGCUACAAAAGAGCCGGCUUGAUGCUGAGGCAUAGAAAUUCACUUUAUUUUUUACUUUGUAUUUAUGAUUAACUAGUAUUAAUUCUAAUGUUUUCUAUGGCUUUUAAAAAUUUCCUGUGAAGACAUUCGUAUAAUCUAUGAAUAAUAACAGUUAUACUUUUUCUUGUCAUUUCGUUCUAGCUUCGACCUCCAUUGUUAAAUAUUUCAUAGAAAUAAUAAGAGAAAGCAUCCUUGUUUUAUUGCUAAUUAAUUUUAAAGAGAAUGUCCCACAUUUCGCCAUGAACUAUCAUGCUAGUUGUAGUUUUCCAAGUUUGGGAACUCCUUUUUUUGUUCCUAGUUUGCUCAGAGUUCUUAUGUCUCAGUGUGAUUGGAUUUUAUCACUACUUUUCGCCAUCUCUUUAUGUGAGCCUUGUCUUUUCUUCCUUAACCUACACAUGUGGUGGAUUAAGUUAUUAAAUGUUUAAUGUUCACUCGAUUGCAUGCUGACAAUAAACCCCCUUGAUCGUGGCGUAUUACAUGGUUUACACUUGUCUGGAGUUCUUUGCCAGCAUUUUAUGUAGGGUUUUGCAUCUCAAUUACUUAUACCUUUCUUUUCUAAUUCGGUAUCAAUAUUAAAGUAGUCUUAGGGAUCAAGUUGGAGAGCAUCUCAUAUUUUUCUCUUCUUUGGUGACUAUGUACAAGAUUAAGAUGAUCUGUUUUUUGCAUGUUUGCUGGAACUUGCCUGAAAGUGGUCUCCCAAACCUGAAACCAUUUGGCCAUCGAGUUGAUUCCUUCUUCUUAGGGAGAUCUUGAACUACUGACCCAUUUUGUAUAGUGAUUAAAGGCCAUUUCUGGUGCCAAUUUACUUAGAAAAAUUUUCACUGCAUGUUGUAGACUGCUAGGAUGUCAUCAUUAAAUAUUACGCGGUUAUCACUGUUUUCAGCCUCAUCCAGGCCAAUUAAUCAAUCCCAGAUUUUCCAUUUUCCGGAAGUCACGCUGCGUAUCUACUCCUGGUACCAGUUCCCUUAUCUAAGACUUAUUUGCAAAGAAACAUACAACCAAGCCUCCUUUGAGUCUAUGAUGUGAGAAUACAGUCAGUCCCACAUAAUGUGACACCUUUGUAAUUGUUCUUUUUAAGUGUUUCACAUUUACUUUUUUUUUUUCAUUUCCCACCUAUCUAGCAGUUUUAAAGUUGUGCAUUUCAGGUUGAGGUCAUUAGCUGGAUUGACUCUGCGGGGCGGUGCGGUGCCCAGUUGCAUCUGGGCAUCAAGAAAAGGCGCCUCUAGAACUAGGAGGCCUGAGGCGGAGGGUGGG
This is a long non-coding RNA of Loxodonta africana (African savanna elephant), 4993 nucleotides long. RefSeq lists it as uncharacterized. The transcript has 6 exons. Lineage: Eukaryota; Metazoa; Chordata; Mammalia; Proboscidea; Elephantidae. The record is from RefSeq and is a predicted model, not a curated record.